UAUUAAAGUUGUUGCGGUUAAAAAGCUCGUAGUUGAAUCUGUGUCUCGCGCUGUCGGUUCACCGCCCGCGGUGUCAAACUGGCACGCCCGCGAGACGUCCUGCCGGUGGGACGGCGUGGCGGUGCGAGCGCGCGCGGCGCGGCCCUCGGGUCGUCGUCGUAGUCGCGCCGCUGCCGUCCGCUCCGUCCCGACUUCGAAUCCUGCCGCGGUGCUCUUCGCUGAGUGUCGAGGUGGGCCGGCACGUUUACUUUGAACAAAUUAGAGUGCUCAAAGCAGGCUGAAACUUCGCCUGAAUACUGUGUGCAUGGAAUAAUGAAACAGGACCUCGGUUCUAUUUUGUUGGUUUUCGGAACCCCGAGGUAAUGAUUAAUAGGGACAGAUGGGGGCAUUCGUAUUGCGACGUUAGAGGUGAAAUUCUUGGACGUCGCAAGACGGACAGAAGCGAAAGCAUUUGCCAAAAAUGUUUUCAUUAAUCAAGAACGAAAGUCAGAGGUUCGAAGGCGAUCAGAUACCGCCCUAGUUCUGACCAUAAACGAUGCCAGCUAGCGAUCCGCCGACGUUCCUCCGAUGACUCGGCGGGCAGCUUCCGGGAAACCAAAGCUUUUGGGUUCCGGGGGAAGUAUGGUUGCAAAGCUGAAACUUAAAGGAAUUGACGGAAGGGCACCACCAGGAGUGGAGCCUGCGGCUUAAUUUGACUCAACACGGGAAACCUCACCAGGCCCGGACACCGGAAGGAUUGACAGAUUGAGAGCUCUUUCUUGAUUCGGUGGGUGGUGGUGCAUGGCCGUUCUUAGUUGGUGGAGCGAUUUGUCUGGUUAAUUCCGAUAACGAACGAGACUCUAGCCUGCUAACUAGGCGUUACUUUCCGGCAUCUCGAAGGCUCGCGUCUCCCGUUCGCCGGCGCGGGCGGGUGUCGCGUUGCGGCGCUCCGGCGCUUGCGCGCGCCCCGUCCGUCCGGUCGGGUGUUCGCGGUUUUUACUGCCGGCGUACACAUGAAUCUUCUUAGAGGGACAGGCGGCUCCUAGCCGCACGAGAUUGAGCAAUAACAGGUCUGUGAUGCCCUUAGAUGUUCUGGGCCGCACGCGCGCUACACUGAAGGAAUCAGCGUGUCCUCCCUGGCCGAGCGGUCCGGGUAACCCGCUGAACCUCCUUCGUGCUAGGGAUUGGGGCUUGCAAUUGUUCCCCAUGAACGAGGAAUUCCCAGUAAGCGCGAGUCAUAAGCUCGCGUUGAUUACGUCCCUGCCCUUUGUACACACCGCCCGUCGCUACUACCGAUUGAAUGAUUUAGUGAGGUCUUCGGACCGGUACGCGGCGAGGUUUCGACGUCGCCGAUGUCGCUGGGAAGAUGACCAAACUUGAUCAUUU
This 1365-nucleotide ribosomal RNA is filed under the name Antiporus femoralis. RNAcentral describes it as "SSU rRNA". It matches the Rfam family "Eukaryotic small subunit ribosomal RNA", at positions 602 to 1774 of the family's 1831-position model. The record is from RNAcentral. Lineage: Eukaryota; Metazoa; Arthropoda; Insecta; Coleoptera; Dytiscidae.